This 484-nucleotide ribosomal RNA is filed under the name uncultured bacterium. RNAcentral describes it as "partial 16S ribosomal RNA". It matches the Rfam family "Bacterial small subunit ribosomal RNA", at positions 30 to 507 of the family's 1533-position model. The record is from RNAcentral.
AUUGAACGCUGGCGGCAGGCCUAACACAUGCAAGUCGAGCGGAUGAAGGGAGCUUGCUCCUGGAUUCAGCGGCGGACGGGUGAGUAAUGCCUAGGAAUCUGCCUGGUAGUGGGGGAUAACGUCCGGAAACGGGCGCUAAUACCGCAUACGUCCUGAGGGAGAAAGUGGGGGAUCUUCGGACCUCACGCUCUCAGAUGAGCCUAGGUCGGAUUAGCUAGUUGGUGGGGUAAAGGCCUACCAAGGCGACGAUCCGUAACUGGUCUGAGAGGAUGAUCAGUCACACUGGAACUGGGACACGGUCCAGACCCCUACGGGAGGCAGCAGUGGGGAAUAUUGGACAAUGGGCGAAAGCCUGAUCCAGCCAUGCCGCGUGUGUGACGAAGGUCUUCGGAUUGUAAAGCACUUUAAGUUGGGAGGAAGGGCAGUAAGUUAAUACCUUGCUGUUUUGACGUUACCAACAGAAUAAGCACCGGCUAACUUCGUG